This 422-nucleotide ribosomal RNA is filed under the name uncultured bacterium. RNAcentral describes it as "bacterial SSU rRNA". It matches the Rfam family "Bacterial small subunit ribosomal RNA", at positions 355 to 774 of the family's 1533-position model. The record is from RNAcentral.
UAAGGAAUAUUGGACAAUGGUCGCAAGACUGAUCCAGCCAUGCCGCGUGCAGGAAGACGGCCCUAUGGGUUGUAAACUGCUUUUGUACCAGAGAAAACCUAUCUACGUGUAGAUAGCUGAUAGUAUGGUAAGAAUAAGCAUCGGCUAACUUCGUGCCAGCAGCCGCGGUAAUACGUAGGCAGCAAGCGUUGUUCGGAGUUACUGGGCGUAAAGAGUGCGUAGGCGGUUUUCUAAGUUCGGUGUGAAAUCUCCCGGCUUAACUGGGAGGGUGCGCCGAAGACUGGGAUGCUGGAGUGUGGGAAAGGCAGGCGGAAUUCCUGGUGUAGCGGUGAAAUGCGUAGAUAUCAGGAGGAACACCGGCGGUGUAGACGGCUUGCUAGACCAUAACUGACGCUGAGGCACGAAAGCGUGGGUAGCAAACA